GACCUGAACUCAGUCGAGAGCACCCCCU
This 28-nucleotide ribosomal RNA is filed under the name Meloidogyne incognita (southern root-knot nematode). RNAcentral describes it as "partial 28S ribosomal RNA". The record is from RNAcentral. Lineage: Eukaryota; Metazoa; Nematoda; Chromadorea; Rhabditida; Meloidogynidae.